RNAcentral lists this long non-coding RNA (614 nucleotides) under Nicotiana benthamiana. Its description in RNAcentral is "long non-coding RNA (NBEN_LNC002695)". Lineage: Eukaryota; Viridiplantae; Streptophyta; Magnoliopsida; Solanales; Solanaceae. The record is from RNAcentral.
GCCAUUACAUAAGUACAAUUGGAAUUUUUGACUGCUACAACCCGAGGACUCUGCACAGCCAGGCAGAGAAGUAUACUUUCACUCCCAGUCUGCUGCUUUCCAUCAACCAGGAUCUAGUGUUCACCAUUUAUUUCUCAUGCGCAUGAAUGCAGCAAAUUUAGUGAAAAAGCUAUCUAAUUGAAUUGCGAGGCUAUCCCCAAUAGGACUCAAUUAUAUCACACUAAAUACAAGAAAAACAAUGCUUAUAAAGGGCAUAAGCGAGGUAGUAAAAUAAUGCACAAAAUGAAGAUCAGGAAAAAAGGAAACACAAAGCAAUUAAAAAAACAUCCAGGUUUCUGUACGUAUUGCUUUCGAGCAAAAUUUCAUAUCUGUGAUUCUUAAACAUCACGAUCUCCUCCCAUUUAAAAUAGUAUCAUUAUCUGCAGUCAGCAUGACUGACGAGCAAGUCACAAAUGCUUGUGAAACUAUGGACACAUUCAAUAACCCCUCACCAGUAGAUGUGUUCCAAAAGGGUUCUGGCCUAUGUUGCUCAGGCUCUGCAAAAAUGGCGCCAGCAGCAACAUUUUUGGAUAGCUGGCACAACAUAGGUUCUGGUCUGCUUACAAAGAUGCCUU